Molecule: long non-coding RNA, 488 nt
Organism: Hyla sarda
Lineage: Eukaryota; Metazoa; Chordata; Amphibia; Anura; Hylidae
Exons: 3
Source: RefSeq, a predicted model, not a curated record
GUGCCAGGCUUCCCAAUCUUACACAAGGAUUAUGCGGGGACCUCGUUCUUAGACCCGUUGCCAGGAUUCCCCACAGCAGAACCAUCGUAAAGGGGUUAGAUGGCGGUUUUCUGAACGUCAUCUUGGAGCAAUUUCUGACCCUUAAGAAUCAUGAAUAAACACAGCAGUUCCUUGUAUGCAAGAGGGAAAAGUGUAUCAGAUGAAGCUCUUCAUUCCAAAAUGGAAGAAGAAGACAGUGUUUCCGAGGAAAUGGAGCCAUAUUUAGUACGCAGGCUUUCCUGUAGAAAUAUACAGCUUCCUCCGUUGGCAUUUAGACUGGCAGAGCAAGCAGAAUGGGACAGAAAGCCGGAUACUGAGAGUCCGCAGCGGCCAAAUUUCCUAGCACUGAGGAUUCCUCCGCUGAUUGCAAUCACAGCUGCCGACUCCACAAGGUAGGACAUGAUUAUACCCAAAUACUGUUCCCUCUAAGUCACUUUUGCUAAUACGAG